CUCUCUCUCUCUCUGCCUUUCCGUCCAAUCCAUUUGAACCCACAAAUACAUAUACAUUGUUUUUAAAUAGUCGGUUUCCUUCUUAAAUCUUGCCUCUUGGAAUUCUAUUAGCCGUUGAGUCUGUGACCGGCCAAUGUCUUUCAGAGUCAGGGGGGGUACGUCUCUCUCUCUCUCUCUCUCUCUCUCUCUCUCUCUCUCUCUCUCUCUCUCUCUCUCUCUCUCUCUCUCUCUCCUAGACAUGUUGGGAGUUCAUGGAAUUGAGUUUGUUUAUGUAUCCGUUCAUCAAAGUUGAUUUAUUUGCUAUGCAGCAUUUCUACGUCCUUCAAUGAAGGGUUUUCCCCACGUAGUUUAAGCCAACGAAGGUUAAUAAGAAUUUCCACCAAAGACUUAAGAAUAAACAAAAACUCUGUUUUAUUGAUUUCUUUCUGUAUAUCAAGAAUUUCGUGCUUCUUCUGGUAAUCAAAAAAGUCUAAAAUUGCUCGGUUGUGUUCUAAAAUUGUGUUCCAAGCAUUGUUAUUUUUUCACGAUUGUAGUACGUGUUCCGUAUUUUGCCUUAAAAUUUUGGGAUUUUAGUAUGUUACCCUUUCCCCUAUCGUGCCUCUGAUAGUUAGUAACUUUACUUGCAUUACUCUAGAGAUAAAGUUUCUCGAAGGGCUUAUGUUGAGAGCUAGCUAGGCCACAUAAUUCUCCAAUAGUACUCUGCGCUCCCACUCUCGUUGCUCACUUUAUGAUGUUGUUCUCAAUCCUCCCUCUCACGAAUUGUACUAGUUUGGAUGUUUUCGAAAGACGCUUUUACAAUCUCACUCACGCUCAUGCAUGCAUUAUGGGACUUCGGUUGAGAGUAUACAAUUUCAAAGACAAGUUAGGAUCUUAUAAUGCCAAGUCCAUAUUUAAGGCAAAUUGAGAGCAAUGAGAAAACAAUGAGAUGGCCAAUCAAGCCCUUUUCCGGCACUUCACUCCUCUUUGUUCUUGAUUUGGAGAUUAUGUGUAAAAUUUCACUGCCGAAUGCUUCUUCGGGCAUGGGCGUUGCUGAUCAAAGCAAAAACACAUUUUUAGAGCUGCAGAGGAAAAAGGUCCAAGGUCCAUCGGUAUGUGAUUUCCAAGAUUGAUGAGAAGAAAAAGGAGGUGGUUGUAAAGAAGACUGGCGAUCCUGCUGAGAGCUAUGAUGAUUUCACCACCGCCUUGCCUGAGAAUGAUUGCUGAUAUGCUGUCUAUGACUUCGAUUUUGUGACUCCUGAAAAUUGCCAAAAGAGCAAGAUAUUCUUCAUCGCGUGGUAUGCUUUCAUCAUAGAUAUCCGAGUCUCCUGUUUUUUAUGACUGUCAUUCGUUCUUAGCACUAUUUAUUCAUUCUCAUAAGAUAGAGGGAUGUCAAUAAAAGAAGCAAUUAGAUUC
Long non-coding RNA from Rhododendron vialii, 1392 nucleotides. RefSeq lists it as uncharacterized. The record is from RefSeq and is a predicted model, not a curated record. The transcript is spliced from 2 exons. NCBI's taxonomy places the organism in Eukaryota, Viridiplantae, Streptophyta, Magnoliopsida, Ericales, Ericaceae.